GUGCCUGUAGCUCAGAUGGAUAGAGCGUCAGCCUCCGGAGCUGAAGGUCGGGCGUUCGAGUCGCCCCAGGCACGUCA
RNAcentral lists this transfer RNA (77 nucleotides) under Candidatus Poribacteria bacterium. Its description in RNAcentral is "tRNA-Arg". It matches the Rfam family "tRNA". Rfam says of the family: Transfer RNA (tRNA) molecules are approximately 80 nucleotides in length. Lineage: Bacteria; Candidatus Poribacteria. The record is from RNAcentral.